UCAUGGCUCAGAUUGAACGCUGGCGGCAGGCCUAACACAUGCAAGUCGAACGGCAGCACAGAAGAGCUUGCUCUUUGGGUGGCGAGUGGCGGACGGGUGAGUAACACGUAGGAAUCUACCCAGUAGUGGGGGAUAACCUGGGGAAACCCAGGCUAAUACCGCAUACGCCCUGAGGGGGAAAGCGGGGGAUCUUCGGACCUCGCGCUAUUGGAUGAGCCUGCGUCGGAUUAGCUAGUUGGUGGGGUAAGGGCCCACCAAGGCGACGAUCCGUAGCUGGUCUGAGAGGAUGACCAGUCACACCGGAACUGAGACACGGUCCGGACUCCUACGGGAGGCAGCAGUGGGGAAUAUUGGACAAUGGGCGCAAGCCUGAUCCAGCCAUGCCGCGUGGGUGAAGAAGGCCUCGGUGU
RNAcentral lists this ribosomal RNA (410 nucleotides) under uncultured bacterium. Its description in RNAcentral is "bacterial SSU rRNA". It matches the Rfam family "Bacterial small subunit ribosomal RNA", at positions 17 to 423 of the family's 1533-position model. The record is from RNAcentral.